Clarias gariepinus (North African catfish) is the source of this 769-nucleotide long non-coding RNA. RefSeq lists it as uncharacterized. The record is from RefSeq and is a predicted model, not a curated record. The transcript has 4 exons. Lineage: Eukaryota; Metazoa; Chordata; Actinopteri; Siluriformes; Clariidae.
ACAGAUGCCCCUUUUUCUUUUGCACUUGAUUCUCCAAGUUCAUUUGCAGACAUGGCAAAGAAAUCUGGAGGAUUGUCAUUCAGAAAUAAAGACCCAUCUUUUCCCUGGAUUCAUGCUGGAACAGCAGUUUUUAGUACCAAAGGAACAGCUUCCCAAAAUCAGAAGGAAGACCCUGAGGGUCAAAAUCAAGAUUUUUCCUUAUCUAACUUGGCGUUGAAGUCUGAUGAAGUUGAGAUGGUUCUUUUUAAGCAGAAUGUAAAAUUGUUCAAAUUGGAUCAUGAAUUUGGCCAGUGGAAAGAAUGUGGAUAUGGUGAUCUGAAGAUCAUUUUCGACCCAGUGAAAAAGUACCACCAGGUCCUCAUGUGGUGUGACAGGUUUUUAAAGCUGCUUGUUAACCACAUCAUUUCCAAGGACACCACGGUAGAAUUCUUGAACAUAUCGGUACACACACUUGUUUGGACAGCUUACAACUGUACAGGUAAGAACAUUUAAACAUAUUGUGGUUUUAUUUAAAUAUACAGUAACAUUCUUCAGUGUGUUGUCAAGUUAGAAUUCUAAACCUUUGACUUGGUUGGAUUGUUUUUUUCUUUUUUUACCAAACAGAGGGCAACUCUAAGAUGGAGCAAAUUGCUGCCAGAUUCACAACACCCGAAUUUGCUGAAUCCUUCAGAAAAAUCUUUACAGAUUGUCAGAGGAUGAUAUUACCAGGAUGGCUCAGGUGAAAAGUGUAUCUACAGGGAUAAGUUUAGGAAAACUUUGGGAGGUGGAG